UUUAUUGUCAGCCUUUUGGGUGCCCGCAUCGGCGGGAGAAUCGGGAAGUCGGUGUAAAUCCGACACUGCCCCCGCAACGGUAAUGAUGCCAGGCAUCUAAGUCCGGAGACCGGCCCAAAUCAGGUAUAGUGG
Molecule: non-coding RNA, 132 nt
Filed under: Shewanella amazonensis
Lineage: Bacteria; Pseudomonadati; Pseudomonadota; Gammaproteobacteria; Alteromonadales; Shewanellaceae
Source: RNAcentral